UAGGGAAUCUUCCGCAAUGGACGCAAGUCUGACGGAGCAACGCCGCGUGAGUGAAGAAGGAUUUCGGUUCGUAAAACUCUGUUGUUAGAGAAGAACAGCGCAUAGAGUAACUGUUAUGCGUGUGACGGUAUCUAACCAGAAAGCCACGGCUAACUACGUGCCAGCAGCCGCGGUAAUACGUAGGUGGCAAGCGUUGUCCGGAUUUAUUGGGCGUAAAGCGAGCGCAGGCGGUCAAUUAAGUCUGAUGUGAAAGCCCCCGGCUCAACCGGGGAGGGUCAUUGGAAACUGGUUGACUUGAGUGCAGAAGAGGAGAGUGGAAUUCCAUGUGUAGCGGUUAAAUGCGUAGAUAUAUGGAGGAACACCAGUGGCGAAGGCGACUCUCUGGUCUGUAACUGACGCUGAGGCUCGAAAGCGUGGGUAGCAAACAGG
Molecule: ribosomal RNA, 429 nt
Filed under: Bacteroidota bacterium
Lineage: Bacteria; Pseudomonadati; Bacteroidota
Description: Bacteroidetes bacterium partial 16S ribosomal RNA
Rfam family: Bacterial small subunit ribosomal RNA
Source: RNAcentral